This is a long non-coding RNA of Cyprinus carpio (common carp), 3020 nucleotides long. RefSeq lists it as uncharacterized. The transcript has 3 exons. NCBI's taxonomy places the organism in Eukaryota, Metazoa, Chordata, Actinopteri, Cypriniformes, Cyprinidae. The record is from RefSeq and is a predicted model, not a curated record.
CUUCUUAAGAAUAUCUUUGCUUAAGAUUUUUAUCUAAUUUAAGGAUAGCCUCAAAUGCAUUCAUUCUCAAAAGGUACUAUGUUUUAUACAUUUAUGAGGUUGUUUCAAAUAUGAAUCAUUAUUAUUAUUAUUAUAUUAAAACAAUGUAAUAUAAGUUACAUACUGUCCCGGUGUGGUGUGGGAGAGAAGCAUGUAAACAAAGAAGAUAAUGAUAUGAAGUUUUUAAUAAUCCACGUAAGGCUAAUCCAUAGAGAGAAGACAGAAACACAUGUACACAUCAACCUGACCGGACAACCAAACACUGAACAGAAUGCAACUUAUAAGGGGAAUGUACAUGAGGGUAAUUAACAAGGCACACCUGAACAUAAUGACACAAUCAACACGAGACAGAAACUAGGUAACACGGAGCACAUGAGGAAUGAAAACAGUCCUGGUUCUUCAGAAAACACCUUCAUUUAUUUCCAAAGUGAGACUUCUUUUUGUGAAUGUCUGGAAUCUCAAGAUGAAGAUUUGUGUGGUACAGCGGCCAAAGCUUGUAAAGCGGAAUUCGAUUUCACGUGUUCUGUGGAAAGUUCCUGACCUUGAAGAAUGAUUUUUCAUCUGUUGUCUGUCUUACUCCCACAAGCCUUCUCUCUCACUUACACUGCAACCUCCUGAGAGAAAGGAUGGGCUUUCAGGAAGCAAGAACCUAAAUGAAAGCACGAGGAAUGUUCUCCAGCAUGGGCGUCAUGUGGUGUGCGAUCCCGCAUACUUCCACGGAAGAUUUCUCAUUACAUCUCUGAGUACUGUGCCUGCCUAGUUUUGUUUCCUGGAAAUCUCAAUUUACCUUCUAAAGUAAACCAGGAUGGUGAUCUUUCUCAGACCUACUGCUUUUUAGACUUUGUUCAUAUGAAGUUCAGCACUUUGUAAAGACCGAGGAGGAAAUUCUUGGGAAUUUUGCUCCAAUUUCCUUGAUAUACAACUCUGGAGCGUUUGAGUGGGAGCCACAUUGUUGAUUUACUAAAAAAAAAAAGGAACAUGUCAACAUAUACCGUGUGGGUUCAAUGAAACUACUUGAAGUGCUUAUUUAAGCUUUUUUUCUUGCAUACACAGUCCUCAAUCCCUGUUCACCUCCUGAAUCAGUGCAGCCAGAACAGGGUCGUAUUUUAGGCAGUGCAUAAAAUCCAUUCUGCAGGCGUCUCGUAUAUUAAACAUCACUGAUCUCAGACCUGCAGGGUUGUGAGGUUUGGCUACUUUUGCCACACUCUGCGGGGCCUCAGCCUGGCGGUGAGGUCCGGGGUGUUAUCUUUGGAAAGUGUUGACAAGACUGAAACUCAGGAGCAGAGCGAAGUGUGUCUGUUCAGAAGACACACAGUUAGUAUUACAGACAAGCUUCCUGUGCACCAAUGCGGUGAAUAGUGAGAGACAGAGAGAAAGGGGCACAAAGAGCCACCAGGGAAAAGAGAAGAUGCAAAGUAGAUAAAAACAGACUGUAGUCAGACUAUACUGUACCAAGAAAAGGAGUUCUGUACUGUUAGCUUAAUGGACUUUAACAAGGCAGUUCACCUAAAAAAAAAAAAAAAAAUCUGCCAUUAUGAUCAUUAUAUUGUUCCAAACCGUUAUUCUGUUGUCUUUAUGUAGAAAGCAAAAUUAUUCAUUAUAAAGAAUCUGUAUGUAGCGCUUACCAUAAAAUUAUACUUCUUAGCUUUUCUCCUUAAAAAAAAAAAAAAAAAACCCUGUUCAAGUUAAGAAAGUGACUGAUUUACUAGUAUAAAAUAUUGAAUUUGUUGUAUUCUACAAUAUAACAGCCUUGUAUUAGGACGACGCUUUUAAUUUUUUCUUAAGAACAUCUACAUUAAAUAUUUAAGAACUUAAGAAAUUAAAUGUUUUUUUUAACAAAUUGCUCUUAGGAAUGUUCUUAUUAAGUUCUAAUAAUUUAUAAAAAAGACACUUAACUGUAAACAGAAUGUAAAUAUAUUGCACCAAUCAUACAGACUACUAUUAUGGUGUGUUUUUGUCAUUCUUGAAACUUUUUGAAUCAUUUAAACUUUUGUGCCCCACACAAAAAUUUGAGUAAAUUAUAGCUAAAUAUUUAUUUUGGUUAAACUCUCCUUUAAAACCAUAGAUUCACAGUUAUAAUUUCUUAUAUUUAUUUCUAUCCUAAUAAGUUCACAGUGUGUUUAGUCUGCCUCUCACAGCCAGCUGGUUUAAUCUGGUACCAGAGUAUAAAUGUUUUAUCAUUACUGGAGUUAAUCCCAGACUACAAACAUAAAGACAUCUUUUGUUUCUGCUUCUCACACCUUGUUGGUCCAACAGAUCACUUAACCAAACAGACAUCUCCCAGCACUCGGAGCUUUUCUCACAUGAACAUAAACUGUUUGCUGUUGAGUCUGGUUUUUAACAAAGAGCGAGAGAGAGCGAGGAGAGGAAGUGAGUGCCCUCCAUGUGGUGAUGUGGGAGCUGAAUGCAACCCAAGAGCCUGCAGUGAGGGCCUCAUUCUCUUAAUGCAGGAAUUCAUUCCUUUUUAUCCUCAUCUGUGUGUAGUUUUUUUUAUUACACCAGUUAUCCGGCUGGAAGGACCCCAAGGAUUUGGAUGCCCGAUAGAUAGUUUUUAUGGUUUUUGCAAGUUGUGUGGUGCAUGACAAAUUAGCACUUGGGUGAAGUGGAAAACUGUAUGGCCAUCCGUUUCUUUGAAACAGCAAGACGGAGGGUUCCGGCAACAUAAAGCAGUGUUCGGUCGAGGGGAAGUCUCUCAGCUUGACCAGAUUUUGUACAUAAUACAAGCUUGUCUUUACAGCUUGAAGGUUUUUAAAGGGAUAGUUCACCCAAAACUUACCUUUCUGACAUAAUUUACUCAUCGUCAUCUUACGUCAAACAUGAAAGAUAUUUAGAAGAAUGUUUUUUUCCAGACAAUGAAAUUCUAUGGGGUCCAAUCGAUGUUGAAAUUUUUUCUGAAACACUUUUCAAAAUGUCUUCUUUCAUGGAAGAAAUAUAUCUACAUAUUUAGCAAACACUUUUAUUCAAAGCAACUUACGGUGCAU